AUCGGUGCCCUCGAGGGACUCGUUGACCCCGAAUGGGCCUUCUGCUGCAUUAUGCAUGCCGACUCACAUGAAAGAUCAACAGUGAAAGACAAUCCUGUUAUUUCCUGUGACAUCCGGACCUCAGGAAGGAAUAAGACUCCUGGAAUCAGUGGAAAUCGAAGCUUCGCACGGCUUGGUUACGUUGAUGAGAAAUCGCCGAACUUCUUCCUGUUCCCAGUGUCGCUUUGUAACUUGAGUCUGUCGCAGAGGAGCCACAGCUCGGAGCCGUCUCUGCAACACGCCGAUGCCUCACCUCGGUUUCAUCGUUUGGGACCAAAUGAAAAGUUUAAUUUACACGAAAGAAGACUCUUAAAACUCUAGCUGGUCACUGCAGCAGAGACCCUGAACGCACCGCCUCUUCAUUUGCACUCCACCCGGUUACACCGCUAAGUCAGAGACAUGCACUCUGGGGAGGGGGUUCAGACCCAAACCCAGUCCGGGGCAUCAGCUCGGUGGCUGGUUGCACAGCCGUUCCCCAGGCAACCACCGGUGGUCGUUAAGUGUAAUUUGUCUGGUCUCCCAGUGUUGAAAACGC
This is a long non-coding RNA of Gasterosteus aculeatus aculeatus (three-spined stickleback), 574 nucleotides long. The record is from Ensembl. NCBI's taxonomy places the organism in Eukaryota, Metazoa, Chordata, Actinopteri, Perciformes, Gasterosteidae.